Molecule: ribosomal RNA, 262 nt
Filed under: Klebsiella pneumoniae
Lineage: Bacteria; Pseudomonadati; Pseudomonadota; Gammaproteobacteria; Enterobacterales; Enterobacteriaceae
Description: partial 16S ribosomal RNA
Rfam family: Bacterial small subunit ribosomal RNA
Source: RNAcentral
AAAUUGAAGAGUUUGAUCAUGGCUCAGAUUGAACGCUGGCGGCAGGCCUAACACAUGCAAGUCGAGCGGUAGCACAGAGAGCUUGCUCUCGGGUGACGAGCGGCGGACGGGUGAGUAAUGUCUGGGAAACUGCCUGAUGGAGGGGGAUAACUACUGGAAACGGUAGCUAAUACCGCAUAAUGUCGCAAGACCAAAGUGGGGGACCUUCGGGCCUCAUGCCAUCAGAUGUGCCCAGAUGGGAUUAGCUAGUAGGUGGGGUAAC